Rattus norvegicus (Norway rat) is the source of this 3109-nucleotide long non-coding RNA. RefSeq lists it as uncharacterized. The record is from RefSeq and is a predicted model, not a curated record. Lineage: Eukaryota; Metazoa; Chordata; Mammalia; Rodentia; Muridae.
CUUGCUGCCAAGGGACGUUGUGGACUGAGAAGGCUUCCGAAGGAAGGGGAUUGUGGGGAAAGGGGACAGGGAGAGGGCGGAGCCAGAAAGAGGAAAGCAUCCAUUUGGGAGGAAGGGAGGGGAGGAGCUCACCUGUCCCUUAAGCCCUGGCUCGCCUGACAGGCCCUGCAAGCAGAGGAAGAGUGGUCAGGAUGUGGUGGGGGAACCCAGGCCACGCACACACUCCACACUCCUGUCCCGCUCCGGGGCCCUGCUCACCUUCUCUCCUUUCUCUCCUGGGAGGCCGGCCACCCCCGGGUCACCCUACAGAAAGAGAACCUUGUGUCAAGAGCCAACCAUGAUGGCGACGAAGCGGGGCGCAGGAUCUACGUUCAUUUGAGGGCUUGUCAGAAAGGACCCAGUGCCAGCUGCUGCAAGGAUCCUUCGGGAGGGACCAUUUACCUUCUCUCCCAUGAUGCCCUGUGGACCAGUUUCUCCUCGAGGCCCUGGCUCCCCCUGGGAGGAGAAAGGAAGGGAUUUGUUUCUCUGGACUCCAGACCACAUCCUGUUUCUAUCAAGCCAGGAUCAGGGCAAGGUGGUGGCAGAAGGUGGUUUGACCUAAGGGACUUGUGUCAAGCCUUAAGUAAGCACUGGGCCUCACAAUCCUUAAGGCAAGCUUCCUUUCUCACUCCCUGGUCCCCUUAUUGAAAUGGAACAGAUUCUCCUGGCGGAAGGGGACGGGGUCUCCUCACCUUGUCUCCGGGGCCUCCUUUUGUUCCAGGCUGACCUGGCACACCCUAAAGAAAAAUAUCAGUGUUGGUUUCUGCCCGGCAUGGGGAGAUGGGUGUGCUUGGCACGUUGCCUCUGUGCCCAGUCCAGAUUUUCUCCCCCUUGUGGAAACCGAACAACCAAAGGUCCAGCCGUGGUACCGUGAACUUGGCUUCCCAACUUUGCUAUUGGAAGAGUGGGUUUGGACAAUGGCCUGUCUAUCAGUGUCCACCGUCAUGGGGGAAGAGUGGCACACCAUGAACUCAAGUCUACACACGCACAGAGAAGCGAGCUUUGACUGGUCCAUGCCCUCAGGAAGGAGAAGGGUGGGCACCCCACUCCUGAAGUGUGGAGUGUUGUGGGGGUCACUGAAUGCCAAGAUGAGCUACUAAAGUCAAAGGUUACAGCUCCCCCUUUUCAACUGUUUUCUCGUUACUGUGUACCUCAAGUAAUGAAUAACUGCAGAAUGGCUAAACAGUGAAUUUCCUAGAGGCACCGGGGAGCCUGGAGGGAUUAGCAGAGAAAUGGUUAGGCUCCACUCAGACAAUGUGGAGGAUGUGUAACAACGAAAGAGAAGACUAAAAUACCUGUCCAAAGUUGAGGCUGCCUACCCCAAGCCAGGAGCUGCACAGACAGUGACCAGGUGAUGUAGUGACAGGGCCAGAGCUUGGGUGCAAUUUUUACCUCAUCAGCCCCUCACACUCCCAGAGGGAAACAGCAGAGUGGCUGGCUCUCUGAGGCCCAGGAGGAUCAACUUGCCCGUGGGCAGCCUGAGUGGCUUCCACUGACACUCACCGCUAAGCCCUGGUGGCCUGGGCUUCCUGGCCGUCCCACCUGUCCUGCACUGCCCUAGAGACACAAACAACCAGAAACACAGAUGAGAACCCCAGUCUGAGGUCUCAUGGCUCCCACCUAAGUGCAGGCAGAGAAGCAGACCCAGAAGCAAGAAGACCUGCUGGAAACAGACUGAGAACUGCUGGUUCUGAAGCCUCUAGGAUUGGUGUGGCAGGGCUCAAAGGCCUGAGAAGGAGCAGGCCUGACCCUGCCCAGUCCCACAAGUGCUUCCUACUCUUACCUUCAUGCCAGGUAUGCCCGGGGUCCCAUCCUUGCCAUCAAUGCCUGGUGGACCCUGCUCAGGAAGAGAAGUCAAGGGAGUCUCACGAUGAGUCAAGCCACCCACCCUGUGAUAUGAGCCUCUGUGAUAGCCACACUGUACAAGCAGAGGGGCUCUGAUCAUCUCAGGAAAUGCCAGCCCACAGGAGACAGGGUUAAAAAGGGCAAGCCACACUGUUCCUUGGUGUGUGGAUGACCACUCAGAUGGCUCAAGCUUCCCACUGUCCCUCCACACAAACCCCCACUACUUGCAGCUGUGAAGAUACCCUCAGACUGUUAACCGGUCAGGUUACAGAGCUAGCAGCCCACCACAGAGUUCAGUCUAGACCCCAGUUUCCUCUCCAUGUAGGGAUGCAGACAAACUGGUCAGGGCCAGGGCCUGGACUCUGAGCACUUACAGUUGUUCCCUUUGGGCCUGUUAUCCCCUGGGGUCCUCGGGCACCUUGGCUCCCCUGCAAAGUAGAUAGAGAGGAGGUCACCUUUAGGAUGCUGAGCCUAGCCAUUAGGCUGUAGAGAGAGAGGAAGGCACAGCUGAGACAAUGGUCCCAGAGUCCGGUGGCAUGGGCCAGACUCGGAGGCUGAAUGGGACUCGCUCAAGAUGUACACCUGAGGGAAGGAUGUCCAGAUCACCACUAAGCAUCCAGACAGGGAGGGCAGUGCGGUGGUUCCUGAGAGCCCCAGGCCUUCACAGUCAGUGGUUACUCAGGUAAAGAAACAGUUACCAAGAGUGGUGGGUGGGCUUCAUAUUGGGUGGGGGGAGGGUAUCUUGAUUUGAAUAAGAGCUCUGAAGAUAGUUUGGGGGAAACUAGGAUAAGCUAAAGACGGAUUAGCUGCUUGGUGAUGCUAAAGUAACUGCACCCCUCAUAGUUUUCCUUUUGAUCAUUUGUUUAUUCCUGCAGGCAUGCUUGUGGAGGUCAGAGGACAGCUUUAAGGGGUCAGUUCUCUCGUUCCACCAUGCAGACUAUCAGUCCUCGUGAUGGGUGCUUUUACCCUCUGAGCCAUCUCACCAGCCCUCUUUCCCCAGUUCCAAUAACAAUAUGAUUCUGUGAGGAAACAUCUUUAAUUUUUAGAGAUAAAUUCAGAAGUGUGUGGAGGCAACUGAGACAAGUAUCUCUGAGAAUGUCAGAGCCGGGAAGCAGAGGCCGGCAGAUCUCUGAGUUCCAGGCCAGCCUGGUCUACAGAGUGAGAUCCAGGACAGCCAGGAAUACACAGAGAAACCCUGCCUCAAAAAACCAAAACAAAGAAAAAG